UCAAGUUAUUAAGGGUGCAGGGCGGAUGCCUUGGCACUAGGAGCCGAUGAAGGACGUGAUAAGCUGCGAUAAGCUUCGGGGAGUUGCACGUAAACUUUGAUCCGAAGAUUUCCGAAUGAGGAAACUCACUUAGAGUAAUGUCUAAGUAUCAUUAAGUGAAUACAUAGCUUAAUGAGGGGAACUCAGGGAACUGAAACAUCUAAGUACCUGAAGGAAGAGAAAGAAAUUCGAUUCCGUAAGUAGCGGCGAGCGAACGCGGAUUAGCCCAAACCAAUAAAGUUUUCUUUAUUGGGGUUGCGGACAUAUCAUAACGAAGAGGUAUCGUAAUUGAAGAGGUUUGGAAAGACCCACCACAGAAGGUAAUAGUCCUGUAUGUUAAACGAGAAGACUUUAGAUAUGAUCCAGAGUACCACGGGACACGUGAAACCCUGUGGGAAGCAGGAGGGACCACCCUCCAAGGCUAAAUACUACCUAGUGACCGAUAGCGUAUAGUACCGUGAGGGAAAGGUGAAAAGAACCCCGGGAGGGGAGUGAAAUAGAACCUGAAACCCUGCACUUACAAGCUGUGGAAGCACAUUUCUUGUGUGACCGCGUACUUUUUGUAGAACGGGCCAACGAGUUACGUUAAGUAGCAAGGUUAAGCACUUAAGGUGUGGAGCCGUAGCGAAAGCGAGUUUUAACUGAGCGUUCAGUUACUUGACGUAGACCCGAAACCGGGCGACCUACCCAUGAGCAGGAUGAAGCGAAAGUAAAAUUUCGUGGAGGUCCGAACCCACGAGCGUUGAAAAGCUCGGGGAUGACUUGUGGGUAGCGGUGAAAUUCCAAUCGAGCCCGGAGAUAGCUGGUUCUCCCCGAAAUAGCUUUAGGGCUAGCCUCAAGGUGAGAGAUACGGAGGUAGAGCACUGAAUGUCCUAGGGGGUAUUGCACCUACCGAAGACUAUCAAACUCCGAAUGCCGUCAUCUUAUACUUGGGAGUCAGACUGUGGGUGAUAAGAUUCAUAGUCGAAAGGGCAACAGCCCAGAUCGUCAGCUAAGGUCCCUAAAUGUAAGUUAAGUGGUAAAGGAUGUGGGAUUGCACAGACAACCAGGAUGUUGGCUUAGAAGCAGCCACUCAUUCAAAGAGUGCGUAAUAGCUCACUGGUCGAGUGAUCCUGCGCCGAAGAUUUCCGGGGCUAAAACUUACUACCGAAGCUACGGCAUCAGUAAUGAUGGGUAGGGGAGCUUCCCAUACGGGUUGAAGCAUGACCGUAAGGACAUGUGGACAGUAUGGGAGUGAGAAUGUUGGCAUGAGUAGCGAGAUGUGGGUGAGAAUCCCACAGGCCGUAAACCCAAGGUUUCCAGGGGAAGGUUCGUCCGCCCUGGGUUAGUCGGGACCUAAGCUGAGGCCGAAAGGCGUAGGUGAUGGACAACAGGUUGAUAUUCCUGUACUACCGAUAACCGUUUGAGAGAAGGGAUGACACAGUAGGAUAAGCUAAGCACACUGUUGGUUAUGUGUGCCCAAGCAUUGAGGCAGUCAAAGUAGGUAAAUCCGCUUUGAUAAUGCUGGGAUGUGAUGGGGAGCGAAAUUUAGUAGCGAAGUAGCUGAUUUCACACUGUCAAGAAAAGUCUCUAUCGAGGUUAAAGGUACCCGUACCGCAAACCGACACAGGUGGGUGAGGAGAGUAUCCUAAGGCCAGCGAGAGAACUGUUGUUAAGGAACUCGGCAAAAUGACCCCGUAACUUAGGGAUAAGGGGUGCCACCAUCAGGUGGCCGCAGAGAAUAGGCCCAAGCGACUGUUUACCAAAAACAUAGGUUUCUGCUAAGUCGCAAGACGAUGUAUAGGAGCUGACGCCUGCCCGGUGCUGGAAGGUUAAGGGGAUCUGUUAGAGCAAUCGAAGCAGUGAACUUAAGCCCCAGUAAACGGCGGCCGUAACUAUAACGGUCCUAAGGUAGCGAAAUUCCUUGUCGGGUAAGUUCCGACCCGCACGAAAGGCGUAACGAUUUGGGCACUGUCUCAACAACAGACUCGGUGAAAUUGUAAUUCCGGUGAAGAUGCCGGAUACCUGCGACAGGACGGAAAGACCCCAUGGAGCUUUACUGUAGCUUGACAUUGGGUCUUGGUACUACAUGUACAGGAUAGGUGGGAGGCUUUGAAACCAGGACGCCAGUUUUGGCGGAGCCAUCCUUGGGAUACCACCCUUGUAGUACUGGGACUCUAACCAUAGGCCAUGAAUCUGGUCUUGGGACACUGUCAGGUGGGCAGUUUGACUGGGGCGGUCGCCUCCCAAAAGGUAACGGAGGCGCUCAAAGGUUCUCUCAGUACGGUCGGAAAUCGUACGUAGAGUGUAAAGGCAAAAGAGAGCUUGAUUGCAAGACAUACAGGUCGAGCAAGGAUGAAAAUCGGACUUAGUGAUCCGGUGGUUCUGCGUGGAAGGGCCAUCGCUCAACGGAUAAAAGCUACCCUGGGGAUAACAGGCUUAUCUCCCCCAAGAGUCCACAUCGACGGGGAGGUUUGGCACCUCGAUGUCGGCUCAUCACAUCCUGGGGCUGUAGUAGGUCCCAAGGGUUGGGCUGUUCGCCCAUUAAAGUGGUACGCGAGCUGGGUUCAGAACGUCGUGAGACAGUUCGGUCCCUAUCCGUCGCAGGCGUAGGAAAUUUGAGAAGACCUGUCCUUAGUACGAGAGGACCGGGAUGGACGUACCUCUGGUGUACCAGUUGUCCUGCCAAGGGCAUGGCUGGGUAGCUAUGUACGGAAUGGAUAAGCGCUGAAAGCAUCUAAGCGCGAAGCCAACUUCAAGAUAAGAUUUCCCACCGCAAGGGUAAGACCCCAGAAAGACUAUCUGGUUGAUAGGUCGAAGGUGUAAGUGCAGCAAUGUAUUUAGCUUAUCGAUACUAAUAGGUCGAGGACUUGACCAA
RNAcentral lists this ribosomal RNA (2896 nucleotides) under Clostridioides difficile. RNAcentral's name for it is "bacterial LSU rRNA". It matches the Rfam family "Bacterial large subunit ribosomal RNA". Lineage: Bacteria; Bacillati; Bacillota; Clostridia; Peptostreptococcales; Peptostreptococcaceae. The record is from RNAcentral.